Molecule: ribosomal RNA, 492 nt
Filed under: uncultured bacterium
Lineage: Bacteria
Description: partial 16S ribosomal RNA
Rfam family: Bacterial small subunit ribosomal RNA
Source: RNAcentral
AGUGAACGCUGGCGGUAGGCCUAACACAUGCAAGUCGAACGGCAGCACAGUAAGAGCUUGCUCUUACGGGUGGCGAGUGGCGGGCGGGUGAGGAAUACAUCGGAAUCUACUUUUUCGUGGGGGAUAACGUAGGGAAACUUACGCUAAUACCGCAUACGACCUACGGGUGAAAGCAGUGGAUCUUCGGACCUUUCGCGAUUGAAUGAGCCGAUGUCGGAUUAGCUAGUUGGCGGGGUAAAGGCCCACCAAGGCGACGAUCCGUAGCUGGUCUGAGAGGAUGAUCAGCCACACUGGAACUGAGACACGGUCCAGACUCCUACGGGAGGCAGCAGUGGGGAAUCUUGGGCAAUGGGCGCAAGCCUGAUCCAGCCAUACCGCGUGGGUGAAGAAGGCCUUCGGGUUGUAAAGCCCUUUUGUUGGGAAAGAAAAGCAGCAGGUUAAUACCCCGCUGUUCUGACGGUACCCAAUGAAUAAGCACCGGCUAACUUCGUG